RNAcentral lists this ribosomal RNA (253 nucleotides) under uncultured bacterium. Its description in RNAcentral is "partial 16S ribosomal RNA". It matches the Rfam family "Bacterial small subunit ribosomal RNA", at positions 524 to 776 of the family's 1533-position model. The record is from RNAcentral.
UACGUAGGGGGCAAGCGUUGUCCGGAUUUAUUGGGCGUAAAGAGCGUGUAGGCGGCUUUGCAAGUCCGUUGUGAAAACUCGAGGCUCAACCUCGAGACGCCGGUGGAAACUGCAAAGCUAGAGUCCGGAAGAGGAGAGUGGAAUUCCUGGUGUAGCGGUGAAAUGCGCAGAUAUCAGGAGGAACACCGGUGGCGAAGGCGGCUUGCUGGGCCAGUUCUGACGCUGAGGAGCGAAAGCGUGGGGAGCGAACAGG